GCAACGGUGUUCUGUACACCGCCUUCGCCACAGGUGGUCUUCAAUAAUCAGGAUUUACCCUUCCUAUCGAGUACCGUGUACCCNNUCUCCCACUCCCUAGCUGCACAGUAUUUUCGGCGGCCUAUACGUUAAGCGCAUAGAUUUAACCGAAAACUUAUGCAACCGGCUACGGAUGCUUUAGGCCCAAUAAACCUCCUGACCACUCGAGGUGCUGGUUUUACCGCGGCGGCUGACACCAGAACUUGCCCACCCCUUAUUCACCAGUGAUUCUACAACUGACAAAGAUCCU
RNAcentral lists this ribosomal RNA (289 nucleotides) under uncultured archaeon. RNAcentral describes it as "partial 16S ribosomal RNA". The record is from RNAcentral.